Molecule: long non-coding RNA, 361 nt
Filed under: Carica papaya (papaya)
Lineage: Eukaryota; Viridiplantae; Streptophyta; Magnoliopsida; Brassicales; Caricaceae
Description: long non-coding RNA (CPAP_LNC013955)
Source: RNAcentral
GGAAGUUCAAUGGGAAAGACAUCCAGAAAAUUACAAAUAUUUGGUAUGAAACACACAGCAGGAUCAGCACCCAUAUUCCUAUUCAUUCAAUUAUUAGGAAAAUGAUAACAACAACUUAUAUUUCUUUUUUAGGGAUCGUAAGGUUACAAUUUUACUUUCACAGUCUAUUAUAGUUCUAUAUUUUUUCAAUUAGUCUAUUCCUAAUAUUACAUCAAAUCCUACAAAAUUUAAUGGUAUCAGGUUUGCACAUACUUCUAUCCCUGAAGUUUUUAUCCUAUAGUCCUUAUAUACACAAUGAGCUUCUGGUAGUCCUUUAGAGAGAUUUUUCCCCGCUAGUUUGUUUUCUAAAGCUUCUAGUCUA